Molecule: ribosomal RNA, 445 nt
Filed under: uncultured bacterium
Lineage: Bacteria
Description: partial 16S ribosomal RNA
Rfam family: Bacterial small subunit ribosomal RNA
Source: RNAcentral
CCUAGGGGCGGCAGCAGUGGGGAAUAUUGCACAAUGGGCGCAAGCCUGAUGCAGCAACGCCGCGUGAGGGAUUACGGCCUUCGGGUUGUAAACCUCUUUUGGCAGGGAAGAAGCGAAAGUGACGGUACCUGCAGAAAAAGCACCGGCUAACUACGUGCCAGCAGCCGCGGUAAUACGUAGGGUGCAAGCGUUGUCCGGAAUUAUUGGGCGUAAAGAGCUCGUAGGCGGUUUGUCGCGUCUGCUGUGAAAACUGGAGGCUCAACCUCCAGCCUGCAGUGGUUACGGGCAGACUCGAGUGCGGUAGGAGAGAUUGGAAUUCCUGGUGUAGCGGUGGAAUGCGCAGAUAUCAGGAGGAACACCGAUGGCGAAGGCAGAUCUCUGGGCCGUAACUGACGCUGAGGAGCGAAAGCGUGGGGAGCGAACAGGAUUAGAUACCCCUGUAGUC